Molecule: long non-coding RNA, 395 nt
Organism: Rhododendron vialii
Lineage: Eukaryota; Viridiplantae; Streptophyta; Magnoliopsida; Ericales; Ericaceae
Exons: 3
Source: RefSeq, a predicted model, not a curated record
GAGGUGCUAGAGCCCCUGUUGGUGGGCGAGGUGCAGGUACUGGAGGUAGGGGAGAGGGGAGCACGAGGGUUCCAGAGACUGCGGAGACUUCAGCACCACCGGCGUUGCCGACGCUGAAGUGGACUAUAGGCGUGACGAGUUCGUCGGGCGCACGGGAGGUGAUCGACGUGCCACAUCUCCCACAGCCGCCGAUGCGGUUUCCUGCUCAAGUGCCGCGAGAGUGGGCUGAGCAGGCCGUGAUGCUGAUGGUGGGGAUGCGCCACCUCUUGAAGGACUGCGCUAAGGGGAGAGCCCUUCAGACGAGACCUGCCCCUGUGACUGCUUCUCUUGUUGCCACUCAGGUGCAGCCACGACGUUCAGCUAGGACGCGUUCGCAAGGCACCACGAGCCCUCCC